AUCUACGGCCAUACCAUUCUGGACGUGCCCAAUCUCGUCUGAUCUUGGAAGCUAAGCAGGGUUGGGCCUGGUUAGUACUUCGAUGGGAGACUGCCUGGGAAUACCGGGUGCUGUAGGCU
This 119-nucleotide ribosomal RNA is filed under the name Colobus angolensis palliatus. Lineage: Eukaryota; Metazoa; Chordata; Mammalia; Primates; Cercopithecidae. The record is from RNAcentral.